AACGAACGCUGGCGGCAUGCCUAACACAUGCAAGUCGAACGAGACCUUCGGGUCUAGUGGCGCACGGGUGCGUAACGCGUGGGAACCUGCCCUUAGGUUCGGAAUAACUCCCCGAAAGGGGUGCUAAUACCGGAUAAUGUCUUCGGACCAAAGAUUUAUCGCCUUUGGAUGGGCCCGCGUUGGAUUAGCUAGUUGGUAGGGUAAAAGCCUACCAAGGCGACGAUCCAUAGCUGGUCUGAGAGGAUGAUCAGCCACACUGGGACUGAGACACGGCCCAGACAACAUAGGGGAGGAAGGGGGGGGAAAAAUUGAAAAGGGGGAGAAAGAGGGAACAAGAAGGGCGGGGGGAGGAAGAAAGGCGGGAGGGUGAAAAAGUUUUUUUAACGGGGAGAAAAAGGAAGGAACCGGGAAAAAAAGCCCCGGAAAACCCCGUG
This 434-nucleotide ribosomal RNA is filed under the name uncultured bacterium. Its description in RNAcentral is "partial 16S ribosomal RNA". It matches the Rfam family "Bacterial small subunit ribosomal RNA", at positions 30 to 507 of the family's 1533-position model. The record is from RNAcentral.